Molecule: long non-coding RNA, 547 nt
Filed under: Olea europaea (common olive)
Lineage: Eukaryota; Viridiplantae; Streptophyta; Magnoliopsida; Lamiales; Oleaceae
Description: long non-coding RNA (OEUR_LNC008518)
Source: RNAcentral
UGAUGCUACCAAAAAUCGUACCUGUAGAUUUCCCGAGCUUGAUGACUGGUGAGGAGCACGAACGUGAUCUUCCGAUACCUGAAACAAAGGCAACGAGGUGUGUUCUCGUCGCCCCUCCGAUGCUUAAGUCAGAAAGGGAAAUAUAUGCGUGAGGCUAUAUGCUGAAGAACAAUGAGAAAACGUACCUGAAUAAUGGCCCAAGGUUCUGCUUUUAUAGGAGUAGGUAGUGUACUCCUAGUAGGAUUGUGUUGGUUGGAUGUUUUUAUCCAAGGGAAUUUCUAUUAUAAAGAAUGUCCUACUUGUAAUGGAAUUGUUUGACAAGUGGUGUUAGGGUUGAUGUAGAAUCCUUGGGUGUUUAGGUUUGUUAGUUAGGUACCCAGGUCUUAGGAGGUAUGUUGGUGGUGUAUGUCUCGAGGACUAUUCUCGAGGACAUUGAGGGAAUGUAAAAGUGUCCUCGAGGACUACAAUAUCUCGAGGACUUAGAUGACCUCGAGGACCGAAGAAGAGAAAUGAGGUGGGGGUAUGUAUUGAGUCCUCGGGAAUAAAU